RNAcentral lists this ribosomal RNA (253 nucleotides) under uncultured bacterium. Its description in RNAcentral is "partial 16S ribosomal RNA". It matches the Rfam family "Bacterial small subunit ribosomal RNA", at positions 524 to 776 of the family's 1533-position model. The record is from RNAcentral.
UACGUAGGGGGCAAGCGUUGUCCGGAUUUACUGGGCGUAAAGAGCGUGUAGGCGGCCAAGCAGGUCCGUUGUGAAAACUGGAGGCUUAACCUCCAGACGUCGACGGAAACCGCGCGGCUAGAGUCCGGGAGAGGAGAGUGGAAUUCCUGGUGUAGCGGUGAAAUGCGCAGAUAUCAGGAAGAACACCAAUGGCGAAGGCAGCUCUCUGGGACGGUACUGACGCUGAGACGCGAAAGCGUGGGGAGCGAACAGG